UAUGACCAUAUCAUGUUGAAACACCAGUUCUUGUAUGAUCACCAAAAUUAAGCAAUGUUGUGCCUGGUCAGUACUGAAAUGGGUGACCGCUUGGGAAUACCAAGUGUUGUAA
Acanthosepion pharaonis is the source of this 112-nucleotide non-coding RNA. The record is from the annotation of a GenBank genome assembly. Lineage: Eukaryota; Metazoa; Mollusca; Cephalopoda; Sepiida; Sepiidae.